UGGUUUUGCCUGCGCUACAUAUCGGU
RNAcentral lists this non-coding RNA (26 nucleotides) under Mus musculus (house mouse). The record is from RNAcentral. Lineage: Eukaryota; Metazoa; Chordata; Mammalia; Rodentia; Muridae.